GGAGGGGUGGCUGAGUGGUUUAAGGCACUCGACUCGAAAUCGAGAGAGCGGCUAAUCCCUGCUCCGUGGGUUCAAAUCCCACCCCCUCCGCCA
This 93-nucleotide transfer RNA is filed under the name Kiritimatiellia bacterium. RNAcentral describes it as "Kiritimatiellae bacterium (wastewater metagenome) tRNA-Ser". It matches the Rfam family "tRNA". Rfam says of the family: Transfer RNA (tRNA) molecules are approximately 80 nucleotides in length. Their secondary structure includes four short double-helical elements and three loops (D, anti-codon, and T loops). The record is from RNAcentral. Lineage: Bacteria; Pseudomonadati; Kiritimatiellota; Kiritimatiellia.